CCGUAAUGUAACUUUUCAUUUCAUCUGCAAGCAGUCCUCAAUAGUUUUAUUUUGAUUCUCUUGGGGUGAUUCUAUCAAUAGCUUAUCUACCGAUAUAUAAAUGGUUUUUUCGAGCCCUUGAGUAUGCUUAGUUUUAUUUUCAUUAGUUCAUGGGCAACAAACGAAGGAUACAAUUUACUUGCCCAUGAAAUAAAUGAGAAUAAAGCGAAGAAUGCUAAGGAGCUCUAGAUAACCGUUUGUAUAUUGGUAGGUUAUCGAUAAAUCGUCUUGAGAUCAUCCACACACACUUACGAGAGUGAUAGAAGUUCACUUGUAAGGUGAUCUUAUAAAGGUUCAAAGAGCAGUUUUCAUGAUCAGCAACAACAGAGCAGUUGCCAAGGUGUUGCAAAAAAGAUAUCACAUUUUGUAAUUUUUGUUGAGAUGUAUAUGUGCAACUAUCAAGACCUUGAUACUCUAGAGGAUGAGGUCAUUGUCAUAGAGUACGAGAGCAUGCACCUUAUUCUUUAAUGGAGUUGAAGGACCAUGGCCUGACCUGACCCAACCCAACGCACAUUUAACCUGACUUUUUUCUGAAGACGACGUGAAGUCAUUGAUCGAAUGGAGUAUGUUCUAACCACUUCGAAUGGAGCAGGUCGCGAUGGGAAGUGAGAAUGAUGAUUGCGGCUGUAUUUUGGGGAUUUUAGGCGUCGCUGAUUAAGUACUUCGCUGAAUUGGGAUGGAGUCGGAUGAUGAAUGGUUGAUGGUUGUUGCAGCCUGCAGAC
RNAcentral lists this long non-coding RNA (761 nucleotides) under Helianthus annuus (common sunflower). RNAcentral describes it as "hypothetical non coding rna". The record is from RNAcentral. Lineage: Eukaryota; Viridiplantae; Streptophyta; Magnoliopsida; Asterales; Asteraceae.